RNAcentral lists this long non-coding RNA (31926 nucleotides) under Marmota monax (woodchuck). The record is from RNAcentral. Lineage: Eukaryota; Metazoa; Chordata; Mammalia; Rodentia; Sciuridae.
AGCCCAGUUCUCUUUGGCUUCUGGGAAGCUUGCCAGGUGGAUAGACCACUAGAAGAACUGCCUACUUGAAGGACAGCAGCCGCUCCAUGGCCUUGCUCACAGCCAGCGGUGGGCAGUGUGAAUCCUCUGCAAACUUUCCUUGGUGGAACAAGAGUGACUUCUGAAGCCCAGGUAUGAUGACUAUUUCAUCUGCCUUUUUUUGGAAAAACAGACAAAGCAAAAAGUUUUCCAGGGAUGUGCUGGAAGACUGGUCUGGUUUUCCUUUGACUGCACUGUGGCUUGUGGAGAUCUGCUUAGGCGGGUGUACAGACGGACACCUGUGGUGGUUCUGGGGGCGUGGGCAGCCUGUGGCUACCAGAGGGCAUGGUUUGUGGUCACCCACUGUGACAAAUAUUUGUGGAACGUGGGGCCUAUUUCAGGCACUGGGAGCUGCCCUGUCCAGCAUAGUUUUGGUCAUCUCUGGAGGCCAUCCAAUGUCUGAAUGCUGGUGCUUCAGCCCUGCUCUGCUUCACAAGGUCACAAAGGUGACCUUUAGAGCCAAGUUGUUCGAGGCAGCAUAAAUGGCCACCGAGGUGGUCUGUCUGGUGGCUUCUGGUGUAGAGUGGAUCAUCGUGGUUUUCUCAUCAUCAAAGUGGUCCUUGGAGCAAGGACUCACAUUCUCUACCCAUUGGGCUGCUGCCUUUAUGAAGGGCAAACUCAUCACAGAUCCACAGCCCGGAGCUACCAGCUGGCACCGGGAACUCUGGGAUUGGAAGCUCUCUCCAUAACUUACUUGUUGACAAACUCUGGCGGGGUGUGAACUGAGCCGGUGAAACACUGGGCUGUAGGGGACAAGGCUCCAUGUGGGCCUCGACUUAUCCAUGCGGGCCUCGACUUAUUUAGCAUCCAGGAUCCAUGCACUGUGAUUUCUAGUACUGCCUUAGACUUAAUGUAAGGGAACAUGCGAUCUCAGCCCUUUAUUAACCUUCGAAACCUCAAAAACUUUCAAUCUGAAACCCCUCUGUAUAGCCAAUCGUUCUAGAUAAGGGACUGUGGGGCUAUAACCAGAAAUACAUCUUUAUUUUCUUUUGCUUCAUGCAAAUAUCUACCAAUAAUGUUCUUAAAGAUAAUUUGUCUGGGGAAGUUAAAUAAGCUUUCUGAAAUUUGAUUUAAACUAUUAAUACGCUUUGCAAAAUCAUAUAUUGCACAUAGGCAAAUUCGGCCAUUGUGGCAAAAUUAUCACAAGUCAUGAGUUAAUGAGUUAACUUUGAGUUAACGAGGUUUUAUCAUAAACACAGAGUAGCAUUACUUCCUGUGCCUGAUUUUCAUUAGUACAAAAAAGACCAAAUAAAGCUAAAAGAAAGAAACAGAAAACAAGAAACAGGGUUGCCUGUACUGUGGUCUUGUAAGCAUUUGAAGUGUGGCUGAAUUUUUUAUUUGUAAAGCACUGACGAGGUAUUGGUAUUGCCUGCCCACAUUUUGAUUUGGAUUAAGGCAUCCACAAAAUCUUUUUAGUUCCAGUGGCCUGAGAAUUAUUCUUGGACUUCUGUUCUCUCGUUUUUAAGAUUUUUCUCCUAAAAACAAAGAGGGGAAAGAUGAUUUAUUUAUUUAUUUAUUUUUGGGCAAUGAGACACGGGUGGGGUGGCUGGGGUCCAAAGGCAUUUUGCAAAAUGCAGAUUCAGUCAAAGCCCAGGCAGGUUCAGGGUGGAACUGCAGGGAUGAGGGGAGUGGAGGUAGAAAGGAGGAUGGGGCUUGGGCCUGGGUCCUGGAGCUGGACCCCGUGGGGUAGGCAGCAGGGCUCAGGGCUUACAUGGGGAUGCAGAGCCCUGAAUUCCACUCGGUGUCUUUGAAAUCAGUUUUGCUCCUGUCCAUUUGCUUGCCAAGAGGAGCUAUGUGUUUAGUUCCCACCGAGUAGAAGGCGAUUUCCUGUCUUUUAACCAUAAAUCCACACAUAAAUACUACAUAAUCAUCCCUUUAUUAGACAAAAUGGCUUUCACCUUGAAGCUGUAGGGUUCCUCUCAGAGCUAUGGAUGGCUCUUUUAAAAUCUUGGCCGGCUCACCUUUCUCGUUUUUCCUUGCUGUUCUGGACUCUUCCUGGUUUCUCCUUCCAGGGGACAUUGUCACCGCUCUUCUCCAAAGCUCCAGCUCAGCAGAUCAGCAGUCGGAGGUGGCCGCCUCGCCGUGGGAAGGGUGCGGGAAGGUGUUGACAGGGCAGGUUGGCCCUUCACAUCAGAUGCCCAGAGGAUGGCAGAAGCCCAGCUGCCCACGGAGGUGCUGUUGGAACUGGAAGGGCUUCAGUGGAGGGGCUGUCGCCGCGUGCGGGACCUGCAGGCCUGGCGUGCAGCACGUGGGCGUUGGUGCGUGUCCAGGUGGUGCUGGGCGUGCCAGGGAAGCCGCCUGCCUUGGUCCGCUCCGCGGCUGUCAGCCCGGCCAUGCGUCUUCGCCAGGUCUUGCAGGGGGGAGUCUGCGUGCCAGGCAGGUCCUCCGUACUCUUCAUCUGACGAGAUGGCAGGGACCAGGAGCCGAGUGACACUUUCCUGGAUGUCAGAGGGAGGUCUGAUAUGGAAGUGCAUUUCACAGGAACUAAAUAAUAGCAAAUUUGUCAGAAAAUAUAAGAUUUCAGGGAGAGAGCAAGCGUUGGGUUUGAAAAGACCUUGGGAGUGUUUGGCUCUGGCCCAGGAAGCCUUCAGUGCUGGGUUCCCCCUGCUGCUGGUUAUCAUUUGGAACAAAAUGAAACUGGAUAACUUUGUUAUGUCUUAUUUACUGAAGCCCGCCAAUUCCCCAGUGCCUCCAGGAGAAAGUCCUGGCAUGUGGGGCCCUUCACAUGCAAAUCCAGGCUAGCUCUCCAUGGUGCCCACCACCUCCUCCUGCCACCUGGAGACAUCUGCCUGUGCACUUCUGCACAUGCCCCACCCCAGACCUUGCUUGCCUGGACAGGCGUCUGAUUUCUCACUUUCUCACUCCCGUUCUCUCCUCCUUUGGGUAAGGCUCAGCUCAUCCUCCAAGGCCUUGGCUCAAAUGCCACCUCCUCAGAUAGUGAAGCUCAGGGUGGGGCACUGUGCUGGUCUCUGGGGCAGGGCCAAUGAUGGACAAGAUGGUUUCCUUUCUCCUCAGAUCUUGAUCUGAGAUUGAUGCUACUGUCUCAGAUGCUUCUGUCUCUGUGAGGAUGAGGGGCUGAAGGCCUCGUAGCAAGGCAGAGCUUGGUGGCACGUGCCACACAGCAGCAGCCCGACAGCACCAAUUGCCAGGUGGGCCUCAGAUGCUCCUGUCAUGUGCAGUGAUCACCAUGGUGUGUGGUGAUGUCCUCUUUGCUGUCUUCAGUUUCAUGCUCUAUCUGUGAGUUCAUUAGUUGCAAGACCCAUGACUUUGCUUCUCUGUGCCCCCAGAGCCUGGUCAAUGCCUGAGUUGAGGACGGUGGCUCAGUUGGGUUGUAGGGACUGAGGAUGGGCAGUAGGAGUGAAUGCCCCGCUGUCAGCUCUUGGGACCAGCCAGGAUACAGAAGUAGCAUCUUCACAUGUGGGAAAUGCACUCCCAUGUAUAUAUAUGUAUACCCGCCAUAUCCCUUCAGAUGGCAAUGUGACUUAUUAAGAGUUUUGUUAUUUGGGGAUGGAGGAGCAUCCUUGGUGACCACUACAGAUGCUCAAGGUGCUUUCAGUCCACUGAGGGGCCAUGGGAAGUCCUUAGCAGGUGCUGUGAGGGGUACCUGUUGUCCCAGUCAUGAAGGGAGGAACGAGACUUCCCUUACCAUAAGCUGGGGAUGCCUCACAGGAGUGGAUGGAGGACCAGCAAGCCAGCCCCUGUGGCCAGCCACAGCAUUGGAGUCCCUCAGUGCAGGGUGCCAACCAAGAAUAGUGUGGAAUGUCCUAAGAAGCCCAUAAGGAAAGAUUCUGCAGAGAUAGAGCUGCUGGCUUCGUGGGGGACAUCUGAAGAUGAAGCUACUGUCCACACAAGCUCCAGGCCUUCAACAGUGGCUCACUUAUCCUGAGGCUCUGCCUGGGUACCUUCUGGGGCCUGCCUGUGUCAUGGUCUCCAGGACAGCCAGCCUCUGAAGCUCUGUCCGGGGUGAUGGACAGCUCAUCUUACUCCUGGGCCCUUCUGCCAUUGGGCGCCGGAGCUGGAGGCCCCUCCCUGCAAGGCUCACUCUUCUUCAUGUUGGUGAGGUCAGCCCAGUUGUUCCUCUUUCACUCCCAGGAAGGAAUAAGGGAACUCUGGGAUUGUGGAGGACUGGUGCUGUCCACACGAGAAGGUGAUGCUUCACAGCUCCUAAGUCUGUAUCCCCCAAGGAUGACCUCGGCCCUCCUGGGAAGAGGGGCAGGUUAGGCAGAUGGGACUCUGUGUGGUGCAGACACCAAGUGUUCCCAGCCUUCAGGGGCUCCUGAGGCUCUCAGGUUCUAGAAACACCCACGACUGGUCUAGCGAGACAGAGUUGGUGACCACAUUGUAUGACAUAGCAGCUUCAGAUGAGUAAAUAAAUGAGGAAAUGUCAACAACUCCAGAACCUUCUUCCUUGCUGGGCGUGCAGACUGGCACUAAAAAGAAAGGGAACAAAUUGGCACUAGGGAGACAGGCAUUUCAGGGGUCUUGGAGUCUUGACAGGCCAAUGACAGUAAAUUCUUUUAAAUGGGUAAAGCUAAGAGAAGUGUGUGUGUGUGUGUGUGUGUGUGUGUGUCUCCCUAGAAUUGUACAAGAAGAAACAUCUUCAACCCCUGGAAACUUCAGGAACUUCUACUGUUCAGUAGAAUGGAUACCACUUUUCCCUGCCUGAAGAUUUUAUUACUAUUUAUUUUUAAGAACGAAAAAGUCACUGAAUGGUGUUUCUGUGGUGGGAAGUUUUGGAAUGAAUGGUGAGUCCGAGUGUUGGCAUGAUGGAAAGCUUGGCUGGCCUCCACGGCCCCCGGGGUCUCUGCCCAGAGCAUCAGGUCUGCAGCUCUCACCUGGGCUGUAAUCCCUUCUGCUGCCCUUGGAGGAAAUUGUCCACUGCAUCUUGUAGCUUUGUGUUGCAGACUCCAAGGCAUACACAGCUGACUGUCCCUUUGGUGUUUUAUUUCCUGUGAAGUAACAAAGCCUGUAGUGCAUCUUGGGUCUCCGUGAUAUUGCUUAGAUUUGGUCCCCCAAACCUGAGGUUGGCAAGCUGUGGCCCCCAGAUCCUGUCCACCUCUGAUUUUUACUGCUUGCAAACCUCAAAUAUUUUUCCACAUUUCUAGAUGAUUAUAUAUUAAAUUGCAAGUUGCCUGAGUAACCUCCACAUUUUUGCCACUCGGCCUACAAAGUCUAAAAUAUUUACAAUCUUUCCCUGUACAGAAAAGCUUUCCCAGCUCCUGUGCUAGAAUGCCUGACUUUAAUGAUUGUUAUUGAAAAUAUCAGGGACCAGCCGUGGCAGACAAGCAGCUCGGGAGGGGGUGUGCCCGCUGCCUCUUCUGUUUUACACGGGGCCUGUGGGGCAGCAGGCUGGGCUCUUGUUUCUCCUGCCUGGGAAGGUGAGCGAGCAUCUGGGCUCAGUGAGCCUUGACCCUGUGGUGCGGGGACCUCAGGCCUGGCAGGCCAGCUACCUUGGCUGUCGUCCUGUUUCUGUGCUGUGUGAUCUGUAUGAGCCCCUUCACUACUCUGGGUCCUGGAGUCCUCAUGUUGGACACUUCGUCAUCUUAUUUGCAAAGCAAAAAAUUGACAUUUGCCAAUGUCCCCAUUGGCAACAAGUGCUGUCUCUCCCAGUGCCCUGAGACUUAUCUCAUUCUUUCCUUCCGUGGGCCCCUGGUUCUAAGCAUGCAGUUUUGGGGUGUCCUCUGGAAGGAAGAGAUCGUAUCAGAGCAACAUGUGAUUUCAUGAAUUUCUUGGAGCAGUUUCUGGGUUUGGGCUCUGCCUGUGAUCAGCCAUCAUGAUCAUGCAUUAUGGAUGAGGUACAGCUGUGGCCAAUAAAGAUCCUUCCUUCAGAGUGAAAACAGGUCCCCUCAGCAUGGCCCAGAGGCCUGGCUCAACAGGAAAGGGGCUGACACCUCCUGGCAUGUCCCUGAUGGGCCUUCCGGAACCUUGCCUCAUGUUUGGUUCUUGCUUUUAGCACCCCCCCCUCCCCAAUUCUGAUAGUCCCUAAAUCCCAUGCCUCAAAAAAACCCUUAAUAUUGACACAUACAAAAGCACCAAGGAAGAAUCCAGAGCAAUUCCAGGAUCUGUACCUGGGAAGGAGUCGUCAAAAGUCGCUGAGACACACUUCCAUCCAGCAGGGUUCGGGUGGUGGUAGGUCACUGGGGAGGCAGGAGCCUGAGGCCAGGUCUGGGAGAGGCUGGGUGUGCUCAAGGUGAGAUUCAGGAGGCAAAGUGAGCCACUUCUGCUCAGGGCAGCACCUAAGUACCAUGUUUGGCCAGCAUGACCUUGAGCUGGAGCAGCACUUCCUGAAGUUCAGGGAUCAGGGAAGGAGCCUGGAUGAGGGCCCCUGACACUUCACCUCAGGCUGCAGGCAUGCAAGGGGCCCUCUCAGAACUGAUGGGCCCUGUCCCAAUUUGGUCGGCACCAGCAAUCCUUCCACGAUUGGGCUCACCCAGAAACAUUCUCUGCCACAUCCUCAUCCUGACAGGACACACACACACCUUGUGCCCCCAGGGAGUACCCACCUGGUUUGUGAUCUUCCAGCACAGGACUCCCGUCUCAGUGCUACUCCACUUGAGAUGGUCCAGAAGUUUCUCUGACUCCCAGUCAGCAAAGGCCAGAGUGAUUUACUCUGCCGGCAGCAAUGUGAAAAGCGGAUGCUGUUUGCAGGAAAAGCAUGUGUGCGUGUGUGUGUGUGGAGUCGCCAGUCCUGCACCUUCUUGUCACCCAUGCUCUCCCCUGGGUGCGGCUGAGAGGCCAUGUGCCUCUGGAUAAAGUGUGAUGCUUUAUCCCCUGUGGCAAUUGCUGCUCCUCCAGAAAAGGGCCCACUUAUGUGGAACAGGGCAGAGCAAACACAGAGGUCACUUAUUGCUAACUGGGACCUCCUGGAGCCGCGUGGCCUCACAAAGUCAGUUCUACUGGUCUCUGAUGCUGGUACACAGGUUCCUUGAGUGUUCUGCAUCAAAUGCCCCGGACACACUCUGUGCUCCUUGUUGGGAGGCAGGCCGGGCGCAAGCCUUGGAGUGCCUCCUGAUGGAUGGCAACAGUGUGUGGUGACUUGGGACUGUCAGGGAAGAUGUGGCAACACAGCACGGCAGCAUGCCGAGACUCACUCACCAGUGACAGUGAAAGUGAUAAGGCUGACACCAUGUAUUGAGCACGGUGUGCGGGGUGUUGGCUGGGCUCUUCAUAUACAUCAUUUUGGUCCUUACAGGAAAAUCUGAAGGCAGUUUGUCUCCCAUCUCUCAGAAGAAGAAACUGAGUUUUUGAGAGGUUAGAAAACUUGCCCACGUUCAUAUAUUUAGGAAGAUCUGUUUGACAUGAAAUCUCAUGAUCUUUCUUCCGUAUCACUUGGCUUAAAAGACAAAUGAAAUACUUUCUGAAAAUUGACUUAUGAAAUUUAAAUAGUAGGCUUAAAAUUAACUCUCUUGAAUAUUGAAUAAAAAGUUAACAGUUUUGGUCAAUCAACACAAUUUCCUUUUCAUAAUAAACUGAUAAAAGGAUAAAUGUCAGAGAGGACUGUGGAAGUGGAAUGAAGACAGUCUGCAAAUGCUUGCUAGAGAAUUCAGACUAAAGAAGCAGCGGUGUGAACAUGAAAAUAGGGUGGCCACAUUACACUUGGGUAGGUGGUGCACUGCCCAAGACCUGGGACUUCCAUUUAACACUGUGUGAGUUCUGGACAAGUGGUACACCUUGGAGUCAUGCAAUCGACAGUCUGGGGACAUGAACCGUACACUUAGGGGAGCUUUCUUCACUCUGACGUAGAAUCUUUAUUGGCCCAGCUGCACUAAUCUAUAAUGUAUGAGCCUCAGAGGAGACGGAGCCUAAGCCUGGGCGUUGCCCCACAAAAUGCAGACUGUCACUGACGGAACCAGGCAGCUCGGGUCCCAGCCUGCUGUGGGCUUUCCAUGAUCAAGAAUGGUGAAUUUGGCUUUGAAAUUCUGUUGUUAAACUUACACUACACAGCAAUUUGGAAGUGGAAGAAAAUAACACGGUUAGUGAUUGUCUUCUGUGGUUUGUUAACACAGAGGAGACACGGAUGUUGCCUUUAAAAUAUUUUCUGGAAUUUUUCCUUGAUAAAUAUGAAUUCAUCUGUUAUGUUCUGCUUUGUCUGUUUAGGCAUUAUCCAUCUAUAAUCGCCAAGGUACAUUUCGGUGUGUAUUGAGUAUUUGGUUGCUAUUUCAAGUGCAUAAGGACUUAGUCCAUUUCCCAUACCUGCAAGGAGAGGCUUUCCUCCGGCUGAGCCAGUGAUGGGAGGGAGGGUAUCCCUGCUUUAGUUGGAAACACACAUUUAUUUCUAAAUGAGUGAAAUAAUAAUAGAUGGAAAAAUAUGUUCAUCUCUAGGGUGGAGAUAAGAUUGAGAAACAUUCCUUUUUUUUCCUAAUGUGAUGAAAAUAAGCCUUUUUGGGGGAGAUUAUAUGUUUAGAUAAUAUGAAAUAAGAUGUAGUGAUGAGAUUUUGAAACAGAUCUUAAAGUACCCUUAAAGGUGAAAAAUAAACUAUUCAGGCUAUAAAUUAAAGGAUCAAUAAUGUUCAGGAGGCAGACUGCGAGAAAUGCGCUUCUGUUUUCAUAAAUUAUUUCUCUAUCAGUAGAGAAGCUUUCAUGAAAAAUAAAAUGGCCCAGAGCAAAACUAAUUACGAUAUUUACAUCUUAGCUUGGAAAUUGACUGGAUAGUUAUUUUUUCAUUGUUUCUGUCCAGCCCCCUUAAGGAGAGAAGACAUUUAAUAACAAUGUACUUUGUAGCAUUAUUUAUGGUCAUCAGUUAAAUCUGGCACAUUUGAGGUGGCUUUAUUUUAUAAAGUUCUUCUUCUGGAAAUGGAUUUUCACAAUUUUUGUGUAAACAUUCCGUUAUUCUGAAUCAUUUGACUUGGGAAUUUUUGUCCUUGGAAUUCUAGGUUAUUAAUUUAAUUGAUGUAGUCCUCAGGGAUCCAUUUAUCUUAUCUCUGUAAUCAAAUAGCUGGGAUUUAAGCAGAUGCUAAGCAGAGGGUCCACCAGGGGUCCAGCUCAGGAAGGAACACUUUGUCCCUGCCACUGUCCUCACCGUGCCCUGCGCUGGUGCCAGGCGCGCCCUAGCCAGGGCGACCCCAGAAGCCCUUACAUGUCCAUCGAAGCUCCCGAGUGUUCUGAAGAGCUAACUGAUUGUAGCAACCUGGUCUGGGCACAGCUGGGCACAGCAGGGCACAGCAGGGCAACCCCACUGGGCGGCAUCUUCUCAGUGAAGCGAAAGGGAGAAAUGGCCAUGGUGGGGAGCAAGGGCACAGAGGACCAGGGCCAGCCGGGAGCCGCCCAGGGGCCUUCUCCCUUCCUUCCACAACAGUUGCCCAUGUCAGAUUCGGGGGCUGUUCAUUUGUCCCCAUGAGCGGAAGGCGCGGUGAGCAUACAGCUCAGAAAUGUGGGCCAACUUCCAGUGUCUCCUGUGCACACGGAAACACGCGUUUUCUGGAGGCCCUUGACAGAGGAGGGCCCAGUGGUAGAUUGUUUUCAAGACGCUCCCAGGGAAGGGUGGGCAGCCCAGGUGAUUUGGAACGACUUGGGGGUUGGCGAUUCUUCCCUAGGCCAGAGAACGCUAAGGGCACACUGAGGUCUCUGUCGCAGGGCCUGGGUGAAAGCUGUCUUCAAAAUAGCUACAAAAUGACAUUUUCCAAGAAUAACUGCAGUUCAUCAAUGAUUGGAUGCCCGACAUGUACGGAGACUGGCACGGAAACGUGCCCAUCCUAUGGCGAUAAGUUGCCACCCGCAGCAAAGGCACCCGGUCCUCUGCACCUGCCAGCACUGCCCACCUCCAGAGCUCCCAGUCCCUCAGGAGCGCGCGGAGGUAAUAACCAUCUGGGAAAUCUGUUUAUCAAGGAGAAAGACAAAGGGGGAUAUUGGGAAUAAUAAUAAUAAUAAUAAUAAUAAUAAUAAUAAUAAUACAAAGAUUAAAAAUAAUAAUACAAAGAUUAAAAAAAAUGCAAAAAUAUUAAAAACAAAAAGCAAAAUGGAAAAUGCGAUGGUGGGAACAGCACCCUCCCAUGGAGCUCAGAACCAGAGCAGCCAUACUGCAAUAGGAGUCCCUGGUGGUGCUGCUGGAACUUGUCCUCUUCUCAGUAUUGUCACUCUGCUCCUGGGAAUCUCCAGUGAGGGGGCAAACAUGGAGGAAAGACCUGACCCCAAGAAACCUGAAAAAAACAGCUGAUUCCAUGCAAGAGUGGAGCUCUAGUUCACGGUAGAACAUCAGACUGGGGAGGCCAGGCAGCUGUCUGCUGCCCCUGGGAUACACGGUGAGGACACUGAGUUUAUCAACCCCUUCUGCACUGGUUCACUGCACCUUUAGGUUGAAGGAGGAGCUGGGGAGGAGGGUUCUCGGUGAGUGCAGAGCUGGGCAGAAGGAGUUGCAGGGACCUGUCCUGUCCCUGAGACGCUCUCACUGGGCGUGGUGUGUCAUACAGGAAACCACCAGUGCUGGACUGUGUGCAACACGAGGACAUGAUGGGACAAGUGGUGGGUCGGACGGAGGAGAUCUGAGAGCACCCAUUUCUUAGCCUUUGUCUUCCAAAAGAGAGGCAUGGUGAGACCUUCCCUGUCCAUCUGAUCAGUCUGCGGCAGAUUGAGGAGAUAUUGUUUGUAAAAACUCUUUGAAGAGACACACUGAAAGCUAUUGAGCAUGACACACACUUGGUGAGGGCAUGUGGCAUAGCAACUGAGAUCAGAUAAAGGACGAGAUUAUGGAGAACCUUAAAUUUAGCUGAGCACUUGCCUUAUUUUGAGGGUAAAAGAGCUCACUAGAUGUUUAGAUGCUGGGAAAACCAGGAACAGUAGCAAUUUCAUUCAUUCAUAAAUGUGUGGAAAACUCAGCAGAGAGUAAAGAGAAGAGGAAGAGAGUAUCCUUAAGGCUUUGAAUUCCAGUUCCACAGUGCUGGCAAUCCUGGAGUUGGAAGGGCCACUUUUCAGGGAUAGAGGAGCCAGGCUCUGAGACCCCAACCAGUAGGAGAUGCAUGCCCCUUGAGGGCGGCCGUCCUGUGGGGAGCUGGGAUCCCCAUCAGGAGCCUGAUUUGAUUGGCAGCUCAUAUGCACUGUGAGGUGGGCUGUCGAUGAGCAGAAGUGGGUAGGGAAAAUACAGAGGAUCAAGGACAGAGCCUUAGUCUAUAACAGGACUGAAUCAAAUCGAAUCGAGGCAGGAGGAGCAUCCAUUUGCAUGUCCUUCCCCUGGACUCAGCUCAUUGAUGUGUUAUCUAGGUCAUUUUCUUUGGUUUGUUGGGUGGAAGGAUCCCAGUUAUGUGCCUCCCAUACCCAGCUCACCUUCUGAUAACAUGUGAUGUUUAUUUGGAACCAUCCUGCCCUUUUCUGACUCCCCACAGGAUUGUGAAUUCUUGGAAAAUGGGAAGGUGUUAACCUAAUGCCUGGCCCUGAGCAUUGUGCACAGCAGUGUGACAAAUGAUGGCAUCCCAGUCCAGAGAGAAGAAGGCUUGACAAGGUGGAGUGGAGGACCAGACCAGUACAUAGGGCAGCAUGAAGAACUGAGCUUUCCUGGAAUACAGGGUUCAGAUUAUUAGGGAUCUUCAAGAGGCAGAGUCAGCAAUCCUGUGGUGGUCCCAGGAAGUCUCAUUUGGGGGAGGAAACUGGCAGGGGCAGGAGAUUGGAGAAUGGAAUGGGCAGGGGUCGUUGGCUCCCAGAGUUUGUGGGAACAUACAGGAUUGAUGGAGGAAAAGAGAAACAGAUUUCGUCCAUGUUUAAUUAUUGUUUUUGAGGGAAACCAGGAUUCAUGGAUAAACUAUAGUUGGCUCCUAGGCCUGCAUAAUACCAGACAUUCAAACAAGUUUGGUGGUGUGCUAUCGGGGUUGCCUGAAAAAUUCUCCUUGGGCAUCACAAGCUGUGACCUGGACAGACUCUAGUCUGUCCAGGGUUAUGCUAACUUAGAUGGCAAUAGCAAGCUUUAAUUUAUGACUUAUGACCUUCAUGUAGGUAGCAUGUAACAUGUCACUGGCUCAUCUAUCAGGGUGAAGGCAAGGACGUUGGUGGCCUGAGAGCUGGGGAGAAGGUGCUGCCUGUCUGAGUCUGAGCUGGUUCAGGAGCACAGAGGUUCCCCUGGGAUGGUGGGGCUGGAGAAGGGACACCAAGAGCUGCUUUGUAUCCCUUCGUUGACUCAGAAAGUAUAAAGUUUUCUUGCAGAAAAUUUGAGGCUUACUCUUUUUGUACCUCCAAACCUUUCUUGGCAUGUUUGUUAAAAUAGUCACCUUGGUUUAUUCCAUUUAUUCCACUUGAGAUACGGGAUUGUCUCAGGCUGUCUGGGCUGCCUUCAGGACCUAGCGGAAGGCUACCUGCUCCUGCAGACUUCCCCAACCUUCUCACAGUCAGGCGCUCCCUUCUCUGUAGUUCUUUGUGCUGGUGCUGUGUGUGUCCUGUGGUGAUGUCAUUUGUUCUGGACUCAGGGACAAGGGAGCUAGACGGAGCUCCUGCAGGCUAGGGGCCGUGUUCUAACGCUCUGUGUCCUUGGCCAGAGCAGGCCCCAGUCAGUCUGGUGGCAGGCAGAGAGCUUAUACAAAGGGAUUGAUUGACAUGUAGUUGGGCGCUUCACUGAAGAGCAAGCUCUGGGCUGAGGAGUGGGGCAAAGGAGACUCCAGCCGGUGCUGAAUUUUCUACCUCUGGGGAGGAGGGGAGCUGUGCAGGAAAGAAUCAAGAAGAAACUUUCUUAAUUGUGACAAAAUCUUAUGCUGUGGAAGUGACCAGAGGAGGCUAGGAAGGAAUCUCCCAGGCAGACGCUGCUGGAGAAGAUUCUGGACCACAGAUGCCCACAUCCUGCUUCAGAGGGGAGCAGCUUCAUCAUCCAGACUCUUGUGUUUGUUUGCUUGUUUUUAGAAAUCUUGUUCUUUCUGGUGGCUUUUCUUUUCAACUUUUUAAAAAUGAAAACCAUGGCUUCUCUUCUGUGUGGCUUCUGCCCCCGAAGAUACAAUAGCCUUCUGUUUCACUAAUAGACAGUGUUCCCCUCAUUCCCAAGAGUUUGCCUGCUGCUCAAAAAUAUUAAAACCAGCUAAAUGGUUUAAAGUUUGGUAAUAUAAUGUUUCAUUGAGAUGAAAAUAUAAUACAUUAACAUGAUUUGAUUAAUAUGCUGAAUGGUUUAUUUGAACUAUAAUGAACCCUAAUGAUUUUGUGAGCAAAUUGAAUUACAAUUGAUAUGUUUCCUGUUUCAUAAGCUAAUGAGUAACUUUACAUUUGUAGAGGGCUUUAAAAAAAUCUUUAAAACCAUAAAUAUAAGGUUUGCACAUAUUUUAUUGCUCUGACUCAUUAAAUUUCACCAUUUCUGGAAAUUUCCAGGAGGUUUGUCAUCGUCAUUGGUGUGAAUUGAGAAAGACAGGCAUGGGAUCUGGAUGUGGGGAGCUGGUAAAAGGAGGUAGUGGGCAUUUCCUGGCCUUGAGGAGCCAUUUGGGUAGGACAGUCCCCAUCUACCAGGGAUUUAGGAGAAAGUCUGUGAAUAGGAAACUUUCAAAAAAACUUUUUUGAAAACUUUCAAAAAAACAAAACUUUCAAACAAAACUUUUUUUUUUUACUUAGAAUGUGGGGUUCCUGUAUCAGGAUGGCAGGUAAUAUAUGACCGUCCCAGCCUCUUGUGGCCAUUCAGUCAGUGCCUGCAAAGAAGGGGUAAUAAAAAGACCUUGACCUGGAGUUCCAGGCUGCUGACCUGCAUCGGAAGUGAUGUUGAACAAGUAAUUAAUCCUUUCAGCCUCCUCUUCUCAUCUCCCACAUAGAGCAGUUGAUAUUCACUCUGUGCCAUCACAUGUUCACCCUUAACCGCGGCAGACUAUUGCAGUUGGACGUGAACAAGUUCUUCAAACAUACACUGUCCCUUCUUGGGUCAGAGUCAAGUAGCUUCACAUUAGAAAGGUCACUGGGGCUUCUCAGCACCUAGUCUUCAUGGUCAGGCAUGAAGAGGGGUGGACACCAGUGGAGAGGUCCAGUUGGGUCCAGGUUCUUGGCAUCCCAAAGAACUGAGCAAGAUAUGCAGAAGAAACAGGAAGAGUAUAGAGUUAUUACAAGUGAAAGUGAAGAGCCCUGCGGAGAGUGGCUCAAGGCCCUGACGCCUGGGGAUUCUGAGAGCCUUGUUCUCCUCCCAAUAGUCCUGAUUGAAGACCUUGCCCUGUUGUUCCCAUUGGUUACUUUAUUUUACCUCAUUAGAACACAGUUUCCAUUGGUUGCUUUAUUUUUGCAUAAUUAGAAUACAGAACUUGUGGCUGGAGUUGCCAUGGUGAUAAGCCUGCAGUGGGGGCGUUGCCAUGGUAAUGGGACUUACUGUAAACAGGGAUGUUAUGACUCAUCUCCCUGUCUUGCAUCCCCCUUUUUUCCCUUGCACAUUUUUCUUGUACCCUGCCUCCACCAUCUUGCUGUCCCCAAACUCCUAACUCAGGGUCUGGGUGAAGCAUGUCCCAGACUUCUCUUUCUUUUCAUAGGGCAUGUCCCAUAUGAAAAGAAAUAGGAACUGUUGGUGUAGUGGACAACGCACACUGGGAUGGCCCCGGUCUCCUAAAAGUAGCAAAGGACACUUGGAGAGGGACUAAUUUCUGAAAAGCAGGCUAAUGACUAAUUUAGUGGUGACUUGCAAUCACAGACUGAUAAGGACUGAGUUAUCUGGAUCAUAAGAAUAUUAUUAAUAUUUAGAACAAAACCAUUUAGCCACAUCUGAUGUCAAUAUAUCCUUUUUGUUUGGUGAAAAUGCAGUGGAAGUUAUCAACAGAGACUACCACACCUCUACGCCUCUGAACUGCAUUUCUAGAGAUUUCCAAGCCUGAAUGCCAUGUCUGGCUAGCUCUCUGUGUGACAGUGCCUCCUACUGCAGAGGGCUGUAGGGCCGUUUGGGUGUAACUGCACCCUUGUGAUGCAAAGCCAGCCAGCGGUUGUGAGGGUGCUCACAUAACACCUGCUUUAGAGAGAAAGCUCCCGAAGGGAGGAAAGAAUAAUUCAGGCCUUACAAAACCUUCCUUUCAGAUACAGUUGUUGGCGGCUUGUGCCCUCGAUAUCUAAGAAAUGUGGAAAACAGGUCUCUAGACAAAUGUUAACUUGGAAACCAACCUGAUCUUUAAUUGGUCUAGGGGUGGUAGUAGGCAAAAAACCCACCCUGGCACAGGAAAUAGUGCUUAAUUUCCUUUACUAUUGUUUCUUAAGUGUUUCUUUUCUUUUGAGAUGUAUCCCUUUAUAAUUCCAUUGAAAAUUAUGCACCCUUUCCACAGAGAAAUGCAUAGAAUUCAUAGAAUCUGGGUUCAUUAAAGUCCUGCUGGUGAUCACUGUUUGCUUAAAGCCAGAACCUUUUGCAUUUAGUACUCCUGUGUUUCAAAAAUAACCUGGUUUUGUUUUGUUUUCCUACAGAGAACUCUGGAGUGUUGCAUAGGAAGGCAGCUCGUGAGAACUCCAGGUCCCUCCCCGUAAGUGGUUUCUGUUAACUGUACAUUGGGGACUGACUACUUUGUGUUGUUUCCUGGUUUGAACUGGAUGCUGGCUCUUGGGUAAACAUGAUUUCCUUCCUUCUCAUGAGAAAAUAAAAUUACCCAUUGAAAGAAAUACCUGAGGGCUUUGGUUGAAGAUCUGUUUGAUUUAGACUUUGAGAUAAUAACCAAGCAUAUUCCAUAGGAGGUUGGGUUCCACCUGUCAGAACAAGGCAAGGCCACCUAAAAGUGAUGAUGGGGUGUGAAAUCAUACCACUUGUGUUCCUGGAAGAGUAGAUAUUAACCACUCCUUCCAAUGUCUGCCAGUGGAUGGCAGCCGCAAGGUACAGGACCAGAGAAGGUUUUAGAACUAAUCAAAGCAUCAUAGGCAGGGAGAACUCUUGAUGAUGUCAUGAACUUCUUCCGGGAGUGAGUUAAGAUCUCAGGGCCACAGAAACAUGCUCAGCCUCUUGGUUUCCAGGUCCAUUUUGGUAUAUGUGUGCUCUGCCAAGGAGAUCUCAGUCUGAUGGAAAGUGGAAAAUUGAGAAUAACUGUCCAGAGUGCAGUAACGAGCAUGGGUGAUUUCAUGUUCCAAAUGUAAUUAAGGAUGCAUUAAUACCUUACGACACACGACACCUACUCAGACUCAGACUUGGCAAAUUCUAGAAAUACCGCAGUACACUGUGGAGAACCAGAGUAAGCUGUGUGCCCUUGUGAGCUGAGUCGCUCUGCUCUAGCGCUCAGGGGAGCAUUUCUGGGUCUGCAAGGCUGGCGAAGCCAAGAUAGAGGAAAUGAACUCUGGAGCUUGAACUUAGCCUUGUCUCUGAUAAAGCAAACCAUGGGCACAAAAGUAAAAUACUAAACAAGUCAUUUCUCACAGCUUUGCUUAAUUCCAGGAGCAGUGAACAAAUGCUAGUGGUUAUUUGUGAUUCCUUUUUAGUUUCUUGGUGAACAAAGCACCUUGGGUCUGGAUAAUUCCCCACCUUCAGCGGAGAGUCGAGAACAGGCUCCAGAGGGCCAGGGCAGGCCUGUGGCUUGGCUUUGCUGGCACAGAUGCAGGGGUGACUGUGCAGAAGCAGGGAUGUGAGCUCCAUGGUGGCAGUGGUGGCUGCAGGGUUAGGGAUCCCCCAAGGGGUCCUGCAUCUGGUUUUGGGAUAUUGGCCAUGUUAGUGGCUGGCACUGGGCUCCUGGGGCAGACAUGAAUGUGGCUGGGUCAGUGUUCCUUGUGUGUGGCCUCAAGCCCUGUUCUUGUCUUUCUAGGAAGGGAGGAAUUGUGUUUCUGUCUGCAUUAGCUGCUUCUGUCCUACUAAGAUCCCUGCGCUGAGUUCCUACUCAAGUCCUGUCUUAAGUCCGCAGUGUGUUUUCUCCCCUGGUAUUGCUGUGACCUGGCUGUGGAGAGAAAGCCCCUGCUGAGAAGCCAUACAGCCAUGUGUUUCUGCUGCUCAAUACCAGCAUGAUUGCCCAGAUGCAGAGAGGACCCCAGGAGCACCAUACCCCUGCUGGGUGCUGAGGAUCACGUACCUCCAUGGACCUGAAUCCUGACAUGCUCACGCUACAUGUCAACACCUGUUUCUACUCUGAAGAAUAUCAAGCAAGAUCAAAAAAAUCACAUUCAUUUCCAAGAAAGAUGCACACCUAACCUCUGGCUAUAGCCAGAACCAAUUAAGGGAAAAAGAAAAGUGGGGCAAGAUCUUUCCAAAUCUGGGGCAGCUUUGCAACAUCGUCACCCCUAGCCAACCCUGGUCAGUUCUGCUGGAAUCCCCAGGGGGCGGUGGCAGCAGAGCAUUUGAAAGCUCCCAGCCCCAUCCUGAUCCUCUCAGCAGAACUUUGGCCUCGAAGCUCGGGGUGUGGUUUCAGUAUCAGGUGCACAAAGAGGGACUAUCGACUGCUCUGUAACGUAUAUUCCCUGAAAUGGCACUGACCUUGACUCCCAUGUUGCCUUGAUAUCAGAUCCAGUGAAACCAGGCACCACUACUGACAAGUCUCCUUUAAUCUCUGCUGCUCUUCAGGUCUCACUGACCCAAGGUGUGGCUUGCCGUGGAGGCUCAUCUGCAUUAGAAGGAUUCAAUUCCUCUUCAAACUGUAUUCCAUUAGAUCAUUUUCCAUGUGUGUGUGUCUGCCCUUGCACUCCAAAUUUUUGUCUUUAAGCAGUUUAAAUAUUUGUGUUUUUUAAGGCAUGAGAGAGGAUAUUACUAUGUUUAAUUAGUAAUGUCAACUCAUUGUGUGUUAUAAGGGUAUUCUGAAAAACUAUGCUAUUAACUCUUCUGAUAGGGAAUUAAUAUCCAGAAUAUGUAAAGAACUCAAAAAACUUAACACCCAAAAAAGAAAGAAAGAACCCAAUAAAUAAAUGGGUAAAAGAACUAAAAAAACCUAAAUAUUUCCCCAAAGAAGAAACACAAGUGGCCCACAAGUAUAUGAAGAAAAUUUCAACAUCCUUAGCAAUCAGGAAAAUGCAAAUCAAAACCACACUGAGAUUUCAUCUCAUUCCAAUCAGAAAAGCAACUAUCAAGAAUACAAAUAACAAUAACCACUGGUGAGGAUGUAGGGAAAAUGUUAACUCACACAUUAUUGGUGGGACUGCCAAUUAGUACAACCACUCUGGGAAGCAGCAUGGAGAUUCCUCAAAAGACCAAAAGUGGAGCCACCAUAUGACCCAGUUAUUCCAGUCCUUGGUAUUUAUCCAAAACAACUAAAAUCAGUAUGCUAUAGUGAGGCAUGCAUACCAAUGUGUAUGGCAGCACAAUUCACAAUAGCUAUAGAACCAGCCCAGGUGCCUGUCAACAGGUGAUGCAUAAAGAAAAUGUGAUAUAUAUACAUAGUGGAGUUUUACUCAGCCAUAAAGGAAAUGAAACUAUGGCAUUUGCUGAUAACGGGAUGGAAUUGGAAAACAUCAUGUUAAGUGAAAUAAGCCAGACUCACAAAGUUAAAGGCAAAAUGCUUUCUCUCAUCUGUGGGAACUGAAACAAAAUAAGGGGGGAAAAGAGGUGGGGGUAGAUCUCACAAAAUUAGAGGAGAGAUCAGAGGAAUAGAGGAAGGGGAUGGAGGGGGAGGGUGGGGGUGAGUAAAGGUGGGCAAAGUGGAAUGGAAUUGGCCAACAUAUGCUAAAUGCACUUAUGAAUAAAUCAAAGUGAAAUUCAUUUUAUGUGUAACUAUAAUACACCAAUUAAAAAAUAAUAAAUAAGUAGAAGGACACCAGUAGAUUAGAGGAAGGGGGUCAGGGAAGGAAUGAUGGAAGGUAAAAGGGAAGGACUGGGGGAUUGAGAAUGAGCAAACUGUAUAUGCAGUUGUGAUCAUGUCACAGUGAACUUGUUAUCAAGUAUAACCAUAAUGCACUAAGGAAAUUAUAAAAAUGUGUCAUUCUGCCUUUUACAAUGAUUUUCAGUGAUGGCUUGAGUUUUUUUUCUACUGCAGCAUUUGGGUUUGUAUUCAAAAUUUAAUACACCUGAUCUCUUCUCAUUACACCAUGUUGCAUACAUCCAAUUAGAUUUCACUAAUUGGCUUUCUGCCAUCAUGUUUCAAUGUCUUGUGUUCAGGCAAAGUCACUGUUAGCCUCCCACUACUCAUAUUGCCAAUUGUCUUGUAACCAGGUUUAAGAAUCCCUUGUGAAUUCACAAAGGAGUUCUUUCAGAUGGUAUGUGUGCACACAUGUGUGCAUGUGUGUGUGUGUGUAUGCAUGAGCAUAUAUGUGUACACGUGUUUGCCCAUGUUGUGUGUGUACAUAUGUGCAUGUGUAUAAGUAUGUGUAUGUGCAUGAGCACAUAUGUGUGCAUGUGUUUGCACAUGGUGGGUGAGUACAUGUAUGCAUGUGUGUGUAAGUAUGUGCAUGAGUGCAUAUGUGUGCAUGUGUUUGCACAUGGUGUGUGUGUCCCUGUGUGAAUAUGUGUGUGCAUGUUCAUGUUCAUGCAUGCAUGUGCUCCUGCUUGUGUGUUGUUUGUGCAUGUGUGUCUGCACGUGCUUACAUGUGCAUGCGUGUGCACAUGUGUACAUACAUACAUUUAGGUGUCAGGUUUCAGAUGAUGGUUUCUCAUCACUGUAAAUAGAGUGCAGCUUGAAGGUGAGUAUGUUUAUUUGAUUUGCCAUCCAAUUACAAUGUUAGAAAGAUAAGGAUAAUUUAUUUUAAGCCAUAAGUGAUAAAAAAUGGAAUACGUUCAUAUUUCUCAUUUAUCACCAAUUCUGAUUCAGAUAGUUCAUAUUCCCUACAUCUAUACAUAGCACUAUAACCUUGAAAUAAAAUUUGUUUUUCACCUGUAGUAGAGAUUUCACAAAACUCACGUGAAGUUGGUCUUAUUCUGGUCUUCUGCUGCACAUGGUGGACAUCCACAGGAAUGGCUUUCCGCUUUGGCCUGAAUGUUUCACUGAGACUGUGAAGAGUAGUCACAGCAGGAACCGGUUCCUUCAGUGGUAACAAAGUCUGGAAAUGAAAAUAACGUACAGUUUUAGGGAAAAAAUAGGAUGAGAAGUACUCAGUUGAUAUCGUUGUGCCUUUUAGACAGAAAAAAACUUCUUGAUAAGUUUAGGCCUAGUUUUAGUCAACAUAUACAUUAGUGAUAGGCAGGCCCUGUCCUGUAAUUGGUGAGCCGUUAAUAUGUGUCAUGUGGUCACUUGAUCCUUGAAGUUGCCAUGCGAUGUUCACACUGUAUUCUUCUUCUGCAUCCUUUAUCUGUGAAGCAAGAGGGCAGGACAGAAUGGUGGCCUGGGGGCCUCUGGCCACCUGCACCCUAGAAGCCCCUGGCCUUGUCCUUUGAAGUCUUUUACAGAAUCAAGCCGUCAGUAAGUUCUUGGAAACAUACAGGUGAGGAUGACAUUGCUGCAUUUCGCUGAUGCUCAGGUGGACAUUUUGCUCCCUUUGUUACCUCUGAAAUUAAGGUGGAUCUUGCAAUCCAUGAGGUGUGGAAGUUUGGUUGGCAGUAUGUUCCUCAUGUCCUGUCCCUUAGUGCCUUUCACAGGAAAGAGCGACUUGGAGUCAGUGAGAUGUGGAAUCUCAUCCCAUCUCUUUCCGAAAAAGAAUUUGAAGAAGUUUAACAAAGUAUACAAAACAAGGUGAGAGAAAUAGGUUGAUGAGGAAGAGUAAAAAUUAAGGUAAGUUGAAUCCCCUGCUCCAUACAUGCACACAGGGUACGAGGUUUGGGCAGUCUGUCACCCUGGGAUCUAAAUGUGACUCUGGUUUUCUUGGUUCCUAAGGCAGAAUGAGAAAGAAGCCAGACCCUUCCUUCCUAGCAAAAGCUUAAAUGGAGUUCAUGGAACAUUCUUCAUUAUGCAAUAAGCAUGCGCCACCCAUGCUGCUUCCUCUCUCGAGGCUCCUGAGAUCUCAGGAGUCUCCCUUCUCUCCUUCCCCAAGCCCUGGCAACAUCUUUUUAUUCUAUAAUUGUUUAUGCUGACUGUGCUGACUCUCAUUUACCACUAAGUAUUAAUUUCAGCUUAUUGGGAAGCCCACCGCCAAUGUUUCUCAGUCUUGAACCAGUAACUUGCUGCUGGAGCAAGCUAGUCUCUGACUUUUGUUUUCUUCUUAGGCUCAAAUUGAUAAGAUUAGACGGGUGCUAUUUUAGGCCUAGAAUUCAAGCUAAUGGUUACUGUUUGGAAAUACUUUGAGGUGUUGCAUUUGCAGCAGAGAUUAUCACAGCAGCAAGUCUGUUUAAAAUUUGUGCUCAUUUCAGUUUUUCUUGCCAUCUUGAAUUGUAUUGAUAUACGUUCCUAGAUUCCUGGGUUUAUCAUCACCUCUGCACUGUCUAUUAAGAAGCUGUGGGAGAAGAGUAUCCAUCUGGGUCAGAGUGACCUUAUGGGGCUGCAGUCUGGCUCCAUUUGAUGGUGAAGCAAUCCUUUUCUUGCUUAGUCAAAAAGAAAUUUUCAAGUCAAGUCUAAUGGAAACAUUGACAAAUUUUGCUAUUUUGCUCAUAGGAUUUUAUUUGUAUUGAAACAUUUUCUUUUAAAAAAAAGCAUUACAUUUUAAAUAAUUUUCUAUACAACUUUAAUCAAUUUCUUUACUUGGCUUGUUGAUUAGAUUUUCUUUGGUUGUAAUUAGUGAGAUGAAACAUUGGACAUUGAGGUGCACUUGACCUUUUUAUAAUUAUGCUAGUUACAAAUCAUGUGUAAGUUAGAACUUCCUGGAAAGUUUUGUGGGAAGGCAUGGGUGGUCUGUGAUACCCAGAGGUAUUUAAUAAAAUCCAAUGCAAGAUUGUUAAAUAUUCAAAAAUCGCUUACCCUAUUUCUGUAGGUUUCUUGCAUAGUCAGAAUGCAAUCUGAGUUUAGAAAACUGCUUCAUUCAUCUUGGAAGGAAAGACCCUGCAGAUGCUUUCCUGUAGGACAAUUAGUUGCUGACGCAGAAGCAGGUGUUGGUGAAGCACAUUUGUGAACCGAUGCUUCUGCCCGGCAGAAGGUUAUCUCUGAGUUGUUUUAGCUGAACAUGAAAUGGGAUGUCCACGGCAAUUCAAGGCCAGCGGUCCAUGUGGUUCGAUAAUUACUUUUGCCCCUUUGCUUUUGUGGAGUCAUUCAUUAUGAGACUGGGCUUAUCUUGUCGUACCUCCCUGUCAUUAGCAAUGUUGUAGUGCAUUAGUGACCAAAUGCAGGUUUAACGGUCAGGGAUUAGAGCAGGCCAGCUGCAAGCAGAGAGAGCUGGGUUUGGAACUCUGUGAUUGUUCAGUGAAUUUCUGCUGUGGUAUAAUAACACUGGAAUGGUGGAAAAUGGGCUUUCUCUAAAGAGGAAGACAUGAAAAUAGGGAGCUCAAACAGAAAGACAAAGCCAACUGGGUGCUUAAAAGGUAUAAAUCAUUGAAAGUUUCCAAGUUAAAUCAGGAAUGUAACUCUGACUUACUUAGAAAUUACAAAUCUAAAGAGUUUCAUCUUUCACAGGAGAAGAAAAAGAAAAAAGAAUCUGUAACAAAUCAACUCUAAUUUAUGAUGAUAUCAUGUGAAAUACCCUCCAGUCUGAGCUCAACCAUUUUGGACCUGUGAUCUUUUUAUAAAACCAGUGUCCUGUCCCAUGAACGUGUACCCUUAGCUCCCUCCAUGGCCCCCACCAGCCCCCACUGGCCCCCAUGUACCCAACAGUUGUUUCUCAGAAGGCCUCACUUUCUCUGAUGAAGGUCAAAGCCAAGGUGAUGUGCUGGGGAUUGAGUCCAAUGUAGGAGAUACUGUUCUGCUGCAAACAUAAGGGGAAGUUCAUUACCUUUCAAAAUAUAAAAUUUUUUUCCCAGAUAAAAAUUGCAUUUUCAACCCCAUACAAAUCACAUCAUUUAUUGGAUAUUGGCUCUAAGUUGACUUAUGCAUCUUUAUGCAAUUGAAUUAUGCAUCUUCAGACUUAUUUGCUUUUAAUUUAUUUGCUAUAAACUGUUUUUUUGCACAGUGGAUUGAACUAAAAAAUACAAAAGUAAGUAAUUUCUAGGAAGCACAUAUCCAAACCCUUUAAAGAUUUAUGAAAAUGUGUGUGAGGCUUUUACAUUUCAAAAGAAAUUAUGGGAGAAAUAACCAAUAUUCAAAAGUUAAUAAUAGGUUAAGAAAUUAGACUAAAGCAUCCAUGGCAACAUUAAUAAGAAGCCUAAAUUUCAUGAGUAUGAAAUUUGGAGUGUUGGUUGUGGGAAUGUGAACUUUACUAACCAGCUUAGACAAGAUGAAAAAGUUACCCGUUGCAAUAAAAUCCUACUCUGGUGUUUUUUGUGUUUUUUUUUUUUUUUUUUGUCCACAAUGACAUCUAUGAAAUCAAAUGUUUUCAGGUCAGUGGUAAAAAAUGGAAGCAUUAAAUUGGGGGGAAAGAAUUGAGUUAGUUCAAAUUGAGUCUUGAUUAGCUUGAAAAGAUACAUUAACCCUUAUCAUCUAUCCCCAACUGAGGACUGAAUGACCGGGACGUGGGAAGCAUUUUAAAUUGAUGAAGUCAUUCCAUUCCACUUAGAAGCAUAUUUCUGACCAAAAAAAAAGAAAAUGGUUUAGAGUUAUAUUUUAUAAACUCUUUUUUUUUUCUUGGUAGGAGAAAUAAAGCUCUUAAAUCUUAUACAAAAGAAGUAAUGAAAUAAGAAACAGUAUCUAAACCCUUAGAUUUUGCCUUUGUCAUUCCCACAAAUAACCAUGAGUCUGACAUAGGCAUUUUGACCCUAAUAUAAUCUAAAGGGGAAAAGAAUUGAUUCAAAUUAGUCUCCUGCUGAAAGCAAGUUGCCCUAGAUAAAGUCCAAAAUCUUGGAUAUUUUUAUGUGUGUAAAAUCCUUAAAGUAAAAUCAUGUGUUCCAUCAAAUUAAAUGUAUGCUAUUUUGAUCAUUUUUCACAUUGGUGAAUUUACUGAAAGGUUUAUCAUUAAGUAUAAUAAAUGCAAUGAAUGUUACAUCAUUUUUCAUAGAGGACAUUUCAGGGAAAGUUGAGUCCAAAAAGUAUCAUAAUAAAUCAAAAUGAACAAAAACCACCAAAUAAAUCGUACACAUAUUACCUAGAUCCAGUCUGAUGUGCAAAAAGAAAAUUGUAGAGACAGUGCAAUUGGACCACGUAAAUCACUUUUAAAGAAUCACGCUCACAGCUGGCUGGCUGGACUUGGGCCAUACUUUAUUAUCUGAGGAUGUUCUUUUCUUCUUUCCUCAGAUUUUGCAAAUGCAUUACAACAUUUCAUCUGUCAGUCUUAAUACAAAUGGCCAUUUAAGCCUUGAAAUUGCCCGUAUUCUGUCUCAUAAGUAAUAUCAUGGGAGUGGGCAGAGUCUCUGCCAGAGUCCCAGCUGGUGUGGAGUGGGACUGCAGCCUCCUUGCUAGUGAAGCACCCCCCCCACCAAGGAAGGGAAGCACUUCAGUGGGAGUCCCACUCGAUGCGCCUUUGGGAUCAUCCGUUAGAGUGUGUUUUAUCAGUAAAUAAAACAUUAUUGAGAGUCUCCUAGUUGUAAGUGUGUUUCUACAACUGAAAACCCACACAGACCCUUCUUUCCAAACUCAGGAUAACCAAAUUUCGUCAGUUCUUGCUAUUCUUUCAGAUGGCUUAUGUAAGAUCAGGUAUGGAUCUAUCUGUAUGGAACUGUCUUUAUCUUGACAGUUUGGACAGAAUAAAAAAGGGGGCCAAGAAGCACCUGUCUUGACCAGAUUAGCCAAAUUAAAAAAAAAAAAAACCCACGUAGAACAAUAACAUGGCAAUAAUAUGCAGUGAGUUAAAAGGACUGAAAGAGAUAAAAUGAUAAUAAAGGUAAAUAUUUUUAACUAAUAGAUAGUUAUCAAAUGCAAUAUGGAGAAAAUUAAGUGGCAAUUUUGCUUCCACAUUCAAAAAUUGUUAUAUAACAUAGCCAUGCAUGUAUCCAAAGAGAAUGGAGUAGAGAACAGACAGAUAUUUAACCUCAUUUAUUUAUUUGUUGUAUCAUAUUGCAUUGGAAGUUGUAACCCAUGGAUGUCAGUGUGUUUAAAAAUAUCUUGUGAGGGGUUGGGGUGCAGCUCAAGGAGAGAGGCUGUGCUCUGUGUGCACAAGAUCCCAGGUUCCAUUCUAGCCCCCAAACAGAAAUUUCAGGAACAACAGCAAUAUUGAAUCUAUAAUAUUCCCAAAUGUUUCUUCUCAACUUUGAUCCAUUUAACCAAGUCAAGCCAAAUUUAACAAGUAUGGUUAUCCCUAGCAAUGUUCUAACACACUAAUGUUCUUAGGAAGGGAGUGUACUUCAUUACAGUGGACUUAUAGUUAAUGUCCCUAUUAACCAAGACUGAAAAUCAAACACUUUUGCUUCACAAAACAAGUACAGUCUAUACUAAGAGUUCUCAAACUUGAGCUUGUAUCAGCAUUUCCUGGAGUGCUCCUUAGUAACAGGACCCAUCUCUGGAAUUUCCAACUCCAAGGGCUGGGGGUGGAUGGGAAUCUGUUUUUAACAAGCUCCUUCAUGGUGUCAAUGCUGCAGGUCUGGGGCAAGUUGAUUUAUUCUAACAAAAAGGUUUGCUUUCUUGUUAUUUCUGUUCUUUAAAACAAAACAAAACAAAAACAAGCUAUUAUUAUUUGGGUCUCUCUGUUAUGCACCCAGGUCAAGGUUGGGACUCAGAGUUAGGACUUUCAGUGGUUCCGUGGUGGAUGAUACCAGCUGCCUUUGCCUCAGGCAGCCUGGGUGACUGCCCUCACUGAUGGGUGAAACUUCCUGUGGAAAGAGUCCACUGCAUUAUGCCUAAGUGCCAAAGUGUCAUGACAGCUUGGCUGAUGCUGUGCUUACACAGUGCUCCCAGCUAAAUACCUUGCUAGGUAUUGCUCAAGGUCCUCAGUAUAGCCCAGUGAUACUCAGAGGGGAGAUCCUGCUCAGUGAGUGGCAGGGCUGGGGCUUCUCCCAUUUGUCCCCAGUUCGUCCUUAGAAGUCAGACUUUCUCAGAAGUUAGCUGCAGCCACUCUCACUCUGGAAGACCUGUCCCAAGGCAAAAACUGUGUGCCUCAAAGUGGCAUCUCACGAUCUCUGUUGGAGCAGCUGUUUCUAGAGUUGGGGCUGGGGCUGAGUACUGAGCUCUGGGACACACGUGGUACUGGUGGGAAGUUUGCUCAAAAAAUAAGCACAGGACCAAACUUCACCAACCACCUAAGAUUGGCAUGGUUGUCUCCCAGGGGACUGCAAAAUAGAUGCUCCAUCACAUGAAUGGGCAGGGCGUUUGAUUAGAGAGGGUGGAUGAAGGGCCUGGAGGACUCUGGCCCCCACAGUGGUCUUCAGGUGUGCUACCUUUUAUGUGUCAAGUGUGUUCAUAAAUUGUUAUCUGGAUUAAAAUCAGAAAUUUUAGAAAUAAACUGUCAUGGAACAGGUAGUCAGCAAAAUUUCCACGGAGGUACUGAUUUGAACCUAGUGCCAGCAGAGCCAGAGAAUGGCAGAGCUGACCCUUCACACCCUGCCUGGUGGACGCUUCACCUGUCAAGUCAAUGUUGUCAAACCACUCACAAGUGGACAAGAAGUUCUGGUCAAAGUCCUCAAAAAUUAUCAGGAAGGCUAUUUGUCAUGUGGGUUUGCAUCUAGCAUUUUAAAGCCAUCGACCUUGUCCUUGGAUGAUAUUGAGUCUGAAGAUAUUUACUAUAACAUCAAUACAUCCUAUAAACUAUAUGUACAACUUAUAAUAAAGCAAAUAUAUAUGUAUUGUGAUGCGUGCACAAGAGUUUUCCUUUUUUUCUGAGAGUAGCAUGCAGUUUUAAAAAACUUGUAGACGUUUGUUGUAAUAAGAGUUUUGCAGCUGGUGAGGAAAGAUUUUCGAAUGUCUGGCAUUUAUGGGUCGUCAUUGAUCUUGCUAUCUGAUAGACAAAUCAACAGUGUGUGCUUCUGAUUGAAGUUACUCUGAAGCUGGCUUUCUCUGUGAAAACCUGCUCUCCUAUAAAAUGAAAAUGUGCACAGAGCUGUUAAGAAGAUUGAAGAUACUGAGGCACAGGAAGUUGAUAGCACAGUACCAGCCACACGGUAAAGGCGAGAACGAUCUCACAAGAAGAGCAGGUUCUAAUGCACAAGCAAAUGCUUGGUAGUCAGGUUAGUGGUUUCCAUGUGCCAACGUUCUUGGGACACCCAGUUAGCUCUGGAAAUAAUCUCUUUAAUGAAUGAGAGUGCUCUGAGGUAUUUUGACCAUAAAAUUUGUCUCACUCUUCAAUUCUCUUGUUUUUAUUUAUAAAAGCAACUCCUGGGAUGCUGGGCAUAUCCUAAGAAAAGCACAUAAGAGAAAAAUGGAAUAUGGAGAAUCCAUUUAAAGUUGUACUAUACUUUAAAAGGAAUUGUUUCUAGGGACUCAGGGAGAUCUGAAGGAUUCGGAUUAAAUUUCAAAAUGGCUAGUACAUUUCUAUUACAGGAAGGCCUUUUGACACAGGUCUAAUAGCAGCCCUUCUUUCAAUCAAUUUUAGAUUCAUAUAAUCUGAAAGAGAUCAGGUCCUUGUAAUGUGGAAAAGUUCAGCACAUUGCUGUCAUGUUUGUAUCCCACCUGGUGAGAGGCGUGUCAUCCCCAAGGGUGCGAGGCAAUGCCUUGUGGUGACCUGGAGCACCACCACAAACACUGAGCCCAAAUUUGCCUCAGAUUUGGGGACUUUUAUAUAUCAAGCCUUGGUUCCUUUCAUUUUGCAUUUGAACGGAUUUUUUGUUUCAAGACCAGGAAACCUGCACUUUAUUUACUGUUCAAUCUAGUACAGGUACCAUUCCCUAUCUUAAUACAUGUAAGGUUGCCUUUGAACACUCUAGAUACUUAGAAACACAAGAAGCCUGGAGAAAACAACUUUGGGCCUUGCCACUAUUUGCUUCAAAUGCCUCUUCCUUUCUGCAGGGACACCAAUGCAGGCAAUGGUGGGCAUUUAGCACGGGUUGCCCCUCUGUGGGUUUGCAUCUGAGCUGCAUGGACCACCUUGAACUCCACCUGCCGCGUAGCGCUGCUUCCUAAUAGUUGCUCAGAAGCCACGCUUCUCCUUCGACGUUCGUGCAUACAACUUCUGUGCUGGGCAUUGAUUUUUGUGGGUCAUCGUAAAGAGCAAGAUAAAUAACCUGUGGACUAAAUUCAGUGUAAGUGUGCAUACUUUAAAUAGGGUUAAAAACUCCUUAAUGUUGAAAUUUCUUUAGCUUGGCAGUAAAACAAAAUCAAUGCUAAUUUAAUAGGAGCUCACAAACCAAGUUUUGCUUUCAUUGCCCUUUCAAAAGAGUAAAGUGCCGCAGUUAUAAACAGAAUUAGUAAUUGCUUGGUUGAUAUGCCUGUUGAAUAGCAGAUGAUUCUUAUUCAGUCUAUUCCCUUUAAAAUCCAUUACCUUAAUUUUAGAUAUAUUACUUGAUAACAAGACUGUUGAUCAAAAUGGUUGCAUUAAACCUGCUUAUAAUUUUGUAAAGUGAUUUUUAAUUCCUCCUAAACACCCUUCCUCCUGGCAGAGGAAAAAAAAAUUGCUCCUGGCUUGCUCAAAAUUGGCCCUGUUUUUCUUAGAUGAUCUUUAAUUACACUUUAAAGCAGCAUUUCUUAAUGGGGGAUUGGAAUUCUGCUUGUUAGAAAAUUACAGAGGGUAUUUGGGGAUCUGCUGUUAGCUGCAGGAACAAAUAGAGAGAUUAGUGAGACAAAUGAUCAGUAGCCUAAAAAAUUACCUGUGGGAGAUAAUUAUUAGCCCAGGGAAGAUCUGGCUGUGGUCAUAAAGGCUGCUAGAUUAUGAGCUUAUCAAGCCCGUCUUAGGAGCCGCUGAGGAGCCCAAAGAAGGUUUAUAUUAGUCACCAAGCAUCAGUGCAGGGGUCAUCUUGGAGAUUAAUGAAUUUACCGCAGCUUCUUCCCAGGCCCAGCCAUAACAACAUGAUGGAGGCUAGAGUCGGAGGAAGAGGAGGCUGGGAGGCCAAAGCCACUGAACCCACACAUGGAUGGAACCAGAAAGAAGGUUUCAUGGCAUAUUUUGGAGCAAGAAGGCAGAAGCGGAAGGUGCACAAGAGAGGGUAAAAGGUCAUAGUACCUCCCUUACAAGGUGUGCAAAGAUGACCAGAAUUGAGGGUAGCUACCCGGUGGCCAAGGACCUUCAAGAUUCUCCCAUGUCAUGUCAUCCUUACUGAGGCCAGGGCUGAUGUGCCAACCAUGUCAUGUAGCAACCUUAUCUUAGUGAGAUGAACAUCUCAAGAUGGAUUUUGUAGGCUCUUGUUACAGACGUACGUAGUUUCAGCAUGAGAUAUAGUGGCCACUGUGGCACGCGCCAGAGCAGGAGAGAGGCACUGGUGAGGAGCCGCAGGGGCAGGGACUCUAUCUUGCCUGGUAUGUCUGCCUGCAAGGCUCUGCUUUUGUGUGGAAAGGACAGAGACAGCAUUGAGGCCAGACGACCCACCCGUCUCUCUCAUGACUGUAUUUUAAUCGCCACCCUUUGUAAAAACCAAGCGCAGAUAGAUGUUCAAUAAAAACUUGUUAACUCAGUGGAUGAGCAAUUAAGGUGACAGACGUGCUUUACUUAUAAAUGGGUAGAUUCUGAGGAGUAACUAUGACUUUUUAUCCAUGUUUUUCCCCCUUUAAAUGGAAAUGAGUACGACUCCGACUACACCAGAGCUUUCUUCCUAAGAGUCACAGUUUAUGUUCAUUGUUUAGUUUGGAAAACUAGGUGGCCCCAAGUCAACUUAACCUCUUGUUAGAAGACUGUGUAAGGCAUCAGAUCAUGUAUGAGAGGACAUAGAGAAAGUGACAUUUGUUCUGUGCCCUCAAAGCACUUCAAAGCAAUCCUGCAGACUGGCGUGGUGGCACACACUUGUAGUCCCAGGCACUUGGGAGGCUGAGGAGGGGGGAUCACUUGAGACUGGGAUUGGAGGCCAGCCUGAGCAACAUGGCGAGACCCUGUCUCUCUCUCUCUCUCUCUCUCACACACACACACACACACACACAAUCACUAAUGAUAUAUAUAUUCCAAUAACAAUCAGAAUCAGAAAAUUUUCAGCAUGGUGACAAUGUACUGGCUGCACUUAGUGUGGAUCACCAUCCUUCUGGGGGCUGUAUAGGCAGCCCACGGAGGUCAUGGAUGGCUUGUUUUCCACCAGGCUGAGUAGCACCAAAGGUCUAGCAAUAAAUGAUGCAGAUGUCAUUAUUACUGCAGAGGGGGCACUUCAGUGGCCUUGCCUACGGUUCCUUGAUGCUUGCUCUGGGGACUGGCUUAUUUUUCUGUAUAUUUUUGUUUCUAUCUCAUUUAGAACACAGAGUGACAGGGAAUUAAUAUUUGUUGAAAAAAUAUAUCAAGGGCUAUUAACAACUUUUUCUACUCCUUUACAGUUUGCAAUAAGAACAUUGGCAAGGUCAGGGAAUCUUUCAUGGGUGGUCCCUACCUAGGUCUCACUUCAGGUGACAGCAGAGGUGGGCCCCCGAUGUGGCUUGGAAUAGAAGUCAAUAUGUCUAUCGGACAUGAUGCCCACAGGCACCAUGGAGAGUACUUUGGAAUGGUCCCCUCACACCUUCCAGGUCAUAGGCACUCCAGGGGCAGAGUGUCAUUUGCUUCACAGGUGAAAUGAUCUUAUCUUUCUUAUUUAUUUUUUUUUAUACUGGAGAUUAAACUUGGGCGCUUUACUACUGAGCUACAUCCCCAGCCCCAUGCCUGAUUUUAUUAAGACGGGAUCUUACUAAGUUUCUGAGGCUGGCUUGCUAAGUCUCCUGAGUCACACAGAUUACAGGCAGUGGCCCCUGGCCCACAUUUCUGAAUUUCAAAUAAAUACUGAACCUGAAUAAAGACUUUAUGACUUCUAGGUCUUGUCUUUUAAAUAAAGAACCAUCAGUCCAGGGCUCCCCCAUGUGUCUUCUGACUGGGAAAACAGAUCAGAGGGGCACACAGUCUCAGCACGUCCACACAGGCAAACAUACACGUGCGUGCACACACAAUCACACACUGUCCAAUACACAGAAAAGAAGUGCCAACACUGGCCACCUGGGAAAGGGCCCAUUAGGGCUGCUUGGCAGUCUUCUGUGUCUGCAAAUUUGCAAAGUCCCCAGAAGGACAUAAUGGUCCCCUCGUCCUAAUCUCAGCUUUAUCGCCUCACUGCUAGAAGAUUUACCCUCUGAAAGACUCCGACGUUUGGCAAGUCCUGCCUGGAAGGGAAAAGCCUCAGGAACAGAAGACGGUCACUUGAGCCUGGGCAGCGUUGCUUGGCCCUGCUGGGAGCCUUCAUCCCUGUUACUGUGCAGAGCAAGAGAAUGCCGUCCACUCUGUAGCUCGAAUCAUUCUUCAAGACUGUGACCUCUGUGUACCUGCAAGUACCUUACUUUAAACAACUUUGAGAUCAAAGUUCUAUUAUUGUUCACUUACUGCUGUAAAAACUUAGACCCAGUGGUAGGAAAAUCUUGAGCUGACUGUGGUCCCAAGAUAUAGAAUUUCUGGCAUUAUGUGGUUAUUUUUAUGAGAUCCAUAAACUUUGGUUAAAGGUCCACAAUUGCACACCAUUCUAUUCAAAGUAACCCAAAAAUACUUCCUUAGUUUUAUCAGCUCAGUGACUUUCCAGACUUGCAUGUUCCAAUCGACCAUAGUUGUUACCAAAGUUUGGUGGUAGUUAGAGUUUUGAUGAGUCACCCCAAAAUAUUGGGUCUAUCUCCCUGAGAGACCACUGUGCAUUUAUUGUUUCCUCCUUUAAAAAAAAAAAAAAACUGGUAGAAACACACCAGCUCCACAGACUCCGAGCGCCGUCCCAGCUUAAAUGGUAGUGGCAGAAAGAAAAACAAGAGGCCGUGUUUACCCCUCGUGAUUCCAAAUUGUUGUGUCUUCCAGAUGGCUCCCGGAGGUCAGAUUACUACAGCGAAUGCCGUUCUGAAAAUGUUUCUCUUGGUAUCCAAAGGCAUCAAAUUAAAAAUCUCAGAUUCGUGGAAUUUUAACAUAACCCACAUUUUGGGAGUGGGGACAUCACUAGGGUUUUCCUGCCUUGCUAUCUCAGGCCUGCAAUGCUAACUGACCACCGGCGUUGUUUUCUGGGAGAUAAUGUGUUCCAGCUGCUCUGUUACCACCUCUUCCUUGCUGUCUUAUUCAAGCCACAACUUUGGUAUAACUUCAGCUUUUCGGAUCAGGAUCAACUGGAUGGCUAGGUAUAUCCAUUAGAAAUUAAACGCUGAGCUGCAAGGCAACCACCAUCAAGGCCUG